This 600-nucleotide ribosomal RNA is filed under the name Klebsiella pneumoniae. Its description in RNAcentral is "bacterial SSU rRNA". It matches the Rfam family "Bacterial small subunit ribosomal RNA", at positions 1 to 592 of the family's 1533-position model. Lineage: Bacteria; Pseudomonadati; Pseudomonadota; Gammaproteobacteria; Enterobacterales; Enterobacteriaceae. The record is from RNAcentral.
AAAUUGAAGAGUUUGAUCAUGGCUCAGAUUGAACGCUGGCGGCAGGCCUAACACAUGCAAGUCGAGCGGUAGCACAGAGAGCUUGCUCUCGGGUGACGAGCGGCGGACGGGUGAGUAAUGUCUGGGAAACUGCCUGAUGGAGGGGGAUAACUACUGGAAACGGUAGCUAAUACCGCAUAACGUCGCAAGACCAAAGUGGGGGACCUUCGGGCCUCAUGCCAUCAGAUGUGCCCAGAUGGGAUUAGCUAGUAGGUGGGGUAACGGCUCACCUAGGCGACGAUCCCUAGCUGGUCUGAGAGGAUGACCAGCCACACUGGAACUGAGACACGGUCCAGACUCCUACGGGAGGCAGCAGUGGGGAAUAUUGCACAAUGGGCGCAAGCCUGAUGCAGCCAUGCCGCGUGUGUGAAGAAGGCCUUCGGGUUGUAAAGCACUUUCAGCGGGGAGGAAGGCGUUAAGGUUAAUAACCUUGUCGAUUGACGUUACCCGCAGAAGAAGCACCGGCUAACUCCGUGCCAGCAGCCGCGGUAAUACGGAGGGUGCAAGCGUUAAUCGGAAUUACUGGGCGUAAAGCGCACGCAGGCGGUCUGUCAAGUCGGA